UACAGAGGGGGCAAGCGUUGUUCGGAAUUACUGGGCGUAAAGGGCGCGUAGGCGGCCCUCUAAGUCGGACGUGAAAUCCCCGGGCUCAACCCGGGAACUGCGUCCGAUACUGGAGGGCUUGAAUCCGGGAGAGGGAUGCGGAAUUCCAGGUGUAGCGGUGAAAUGCGUAGAUAUCUGGAGGAAUACCGGUGGCGAAGGCGGCAUCCUGGACCGACAUUGACGCUGAUGAGCGAAAGCUAGGGGAGCAAACGGG
This 253-nucleotide ribosomal RNA is filed under the name uncultured bacterium. RNAcentral describes it as "partial 16S ribosomal RNA". It matches the Rfam family "Bacterial small subunit ribosomal RNA", at positions 524 to 776 of the family's 1533-position model. The record is from RNAcentral.